Limanda limanda (common dab) is the source of this 440-nucleotide long non-coding RNA. RefSeq lists it as uncharacterized. NCBI's taxonomy places the organism in Eukaryota, Metazoa, Chordata, Actinopteri, Pleuronectiformes, Pleuronectidae. The transcript is spliced from 3 exons. The record is from RefSeq and is a predicted model, not a curated record.
CCCCCCCCCCCCACACACACACACACAAACAAAGAGGCGUUAGGCUGAGACGCUGAAAGUCCGGAUUUAAAGUGCAGAAAAUGAAGCCAUUGAAUCUGCCUGUCCAUGACGUACAAAGACACACUAUGAGCCAGUAUGAUCCGACCAGACCUUACAUCAGCAUUGAGGAGUUGUCGGAGAAGAAAGAGGCUGAUUGAAGCGGGACAGACGACAUGGAUCCAUCCUUCCACAGCCAGGAGUGCACCGACCUGUGUCCCACACUUCAUAUAAGACUGGAAGCUACACUGGAUCUCACAGCUACACACCACAGACGUCUACACACUGGAGAAGAGUCCCACAAAGAAGUCAUGACCCAGAGGCUGCAGAGAAACAUUUCAAGCCUCACCUGAGAUUUUGUACAAUAUUUUUGCUGUAUGUAAAUAAAGCUUUCACUCCACAUA